CUGCUACAACGGCUUCCUGACGUGGCAGAUUUAAUGACUGGAGCA
RNAcentral lists this non-coding RNA (45 nucleotides) under unclassified sequences. RNAcentral describes it as "SAM-SAH-Weickhmann-2018 RNA". It matches the Rfam family "SAM/SAH riboswitch aptamer". The record is from RNAcentral.